RNAcentral lists this ribosomal RNA (458 nucleotides) under uncultured bacterium. Its description in RNAcentral is "partial 16S ribosomal RNA". It matches the Rfam family "Bacterial small subunit ribosomal RNA", at positions 338 to 795 of the family's 1533-position model. The record is from RNAcentral.
CCUACGUGAGGCAGCAGUGAGGAAUAUUGGUCAAUGUGCGAGAGUCUGAACCGGCCAAGUCUCGUGAGGGAGUACUGCCCUAUGGGUUGUAAACCUCUUUUGUCGGGGAGCAAAAGCCGGACGUGUCCGGCUGUGAGAGUACCCGAAGAAAAAACAUCGGCUAACUCCCUGCCAGCAGCCGCGGUAAUACGGAGGAUGCGAGCGUUUUCCGGAUGUAUUGGGUUUAAAGGGUGCGCAGGCGGAUUUUUAAGUCAGCGGUAAAAUCGUGGGGCUCAACCCCAUCCAGCCGUUGAAACUGGGGAUCUAGAGUGUGCGAGAGGUAUGCGGAAUGCGUGGUGUAGCGGUGAAAUGCAUAGAUAUCACGCAGAACCCCGAUUGCGAAGGCAGCAUACCGGUGCACAACUGACGCUCAGGCACGAAAGCGUGGGUAUCGAACAGGAUUAGAUACCCCAGUAGUC